RNAcentral lists this ribosomal RNA (1372 nucleotides) under uncultured bacterium. Its description in RNAcentral is "bacterial SSU rRNA". It matches the Rfam family "Bacterial small subunit ribosomal RNA", at positions 28 to 1381 of the family's 1533-position model. The record is from RNAcentral.
GAUGAACGCUGGCGGCGUGCCUAAUACAUGCAAGUCGAGCGAACGGACGAGAAGCUUGCUUCUCUGAUGUUAGCGGCGGACGGGUGAGUAACACGUGGAUAACCUACCUAUAAGACUGGGAUAACUUCGGGAAACCGGAGCUAAUACCGGAUAAUAUUUUGAACCGCAUGGUUCAAAAGUGAAAGACGGUCUUGCUGUCACUUAUAGAUGGAUCCGCGCUGCAUUAGCUAGUUGGUAAGGUAACGGCUUACCAAGGCAACGAUGCAUAGCCGACCUGAGAGGGUGAUCGGCCACACUGGAACUGAGACACGGUCCAGACUCCUACGGGAGGCAGCAGUAGGGAAUCUUCCGCAAUGGGCGAAAGCCUGACGGAGCAACGCCGCGUGAGUGAUGAAGGUCUUCGGAUCGUAAAACUCUGUUAUUAGGGAAGAACAUAUGUGUAAGUAACUGUGCACAUCUUGACGGUACCUAAUCAGAAAGCCACGGCUAACUACGUGCCAGCAGCCGCGGUAAUACGUAGGUGGCAAGCGUUAUCCGGAAUUAUUGGGCGUAAAGCGCGCGUAGGCGGUUUUUUAAGUCUGAUGUGAAAGCCCACGGCUCAACCGUGGAGGGUCAUUGGAAACUGGAAAACUUGAGUGCAGAAGAGGAAAGUGGAAUUCCAUGUGUAGCGGUGAAAUGCGCAGAGAUAUGGAGGAACACCAGUGGCGAAGGCGACUUUCUGGUCUGUAACUGACGCUGAUGUGCGAAAGCGUGGGGAUCAAACAGGAUUAGAUACCCGGGUAGUCCACGCCGUAAACGAUGAGUGCUAAGUGUUAGGGGGUUUCCGCCCCUUAGUGCUGCAGCUAACGCAUUAAGCACUCCGCCUGGGGAGUACGACCGCAAGGUUGAAACUCAAAGGAAUUGACGGGGACCCGCACAAGCGGUGGAGCAUGUGGUUUAAUUCGAAGCAACGCGAAGAACCUUACCAAAUCUUGACAUCCUUUGACAACUCUAGAGAUAGAGCUUUCCCCUUCGGGGGACAAAGUGACAGGUGGUGCAUGGUUGUCGUCAGCUCGUGUCGUGAGAUGUUGGGUUAAGUCCCGCAACGAGCGCAACCCUUAAGCUUAGUUGCCAUCAUUAAGUUGGGCACUCUAAGUUGACUGCCGGUGACAAACCGGAGGAAGGUGGGGAUGACGUCAAAUCAUCAUGCCCCUUAUGAUUUGGGCUACACACGUGCUACAAUGGACAAUACAAAGGGCAGCGAAACCGCGAGGUCAAGCAAAUCCCAUAAAGUUGUUCUCAGUUCGGAUUGUAGUCUGCAACUCGACUACAUGAAGCUGGAAUCGCUAGUAAUCGUAGAUCAGCAUGCUACGGUGAAUACGUUCCCGGGUCU